CCCCUCGGGGCUCCUUGGUGAUUCAUAAUAACUUAACGAAUCGCAUGGCCUUGCGCCGGCGAUGGUUCAUUCAAAUUUCUGCCCUAUCAACUUUCGAUGGUAGGAUAGUGGCCUACCAUGGUGGCAACGGGUAACGGGGAAUUAGGGUUCGAUUCCGGAGAGGGAGCCUGAGAAACGGCUACCACAUCCAAGGAAGGCAGCAGGCGCGCAAAUUACCCAAUCCCGACACGGGGAGGUAGUGACAAUAAAUACUGAUACGGGGCUCUUUUGGGUCUCGUAAUUGGAAUGAGAACAAUUUAAAUCCCUUAACGAGGAACAAUUGGAGGGCAAGUCUGGUGCCAGCAGCCGCGGUAAUUCCAGCUCCAAUAGCGUAUAUUAAAGUUGUUGCAGUUAAAAAGCUCGUAGUUGAACCUUGGGUCUGGCUGGCCGGUCCGCCUCACCGCGAGUACUGGUCCGGCUGGACCUUUCCUUCUGGGGAACCCCAUGGCCUUCACUGGCUGUGGGGGGAACCAGGACUUUUACUGUGAAAAAAUUAGAGUGUUCAAAGCAGGCCUUUGCUCGGAUACAUUAGCAUGGAAUAAUAGAAUAGGACGUGCGGUUCUAUUUUGUUGGUUUCUAGGACCGCCGUAAUGAUUAAUAGGGAUAGUCGGGGGCGUCAGUAUUCAGCUGUCAGAGGUGAAAUUCUUGGAUUUGCUGAAGACUAACUACUGCG
RNAcentral lists this ribosomal RNA (712 nucleotides) under Aspergillus sp. M5-2-3. Its description in RNAcentral is "SSU rRNA". It matches the Rfam family "Eukaryotic small subunit ribosomal RNA", at positions 229 to 947 of the family's 1831-position model. Lineage: Eukaryota; Fungi; Ascomycota; Eurotiomycetes; Eurotiales; Aspergillaceae. The record is from RNAcentral.